Molecule: long non-coding RNA, 17657 nt
Filed under: Cucumis sativus (cucumber)
Lineage: Eukaryota; Viridiplantae; Streptophyta; Magnoliopsida; Cucurbitales; Cucurbitaceae
Description: long non-coding RNA (CSAT_LNC002544)
Source: RNAcentral
AAUUAUUCAUUACUGUAAAUAAUCAAGAUGCUGGAUACUUCCUAACUUUGACUGUGUCAUUCAGAAACUCUUGUGAAAGCGUUUGAGAUUAAUGGAUCGGGCUACAUAUAUAUUUUGUUUGGUGUCACUGAAAUAUCAUGCACACUUUAGUUUACUUUAGAAUUGUGAUGGGAAUUAGCUUGAGCAUCUUGCUCGUGAAGAUUAUUAGUGAUUUCUCUUUUUUUUAAGCUGGAUUUUAUCGUGUAUUUGAUUGCAUAUUGUUUCUUGUUCUUGCUCUUUCUCUCUCCCGGUGGCAUACUUUUGACUCUGGGUUUCAUGAAUUUAUCUUUUCCCCCCUUUAUUUUGACAAAUGUUAUAUAUGUUGCAUAGGUUGUUCUUGCUGCAUCCAUUGUUAGCAAGUCUGGGAAAGGUGAGAUACUUCCUUUACCCAUUCUUCAACAAUACUCUUUAUUUUUAUUUUUAUUUUUCAUAAUGAUGGUUUUCAUAGUUAGCUUCUUACACUUUAUACUCGUUAGCCCCUCUCACAUGGGCACAAACACACACCUUUUCUCCCUUAAAAUUUUAUUUUCAAGUCUUUGAUAAAUUUUAGCUACUAUUUACAAGGCUGCCCUUUUGGAUGCAUUCUUUUUGCAGUUCUUAUUUCCAGACAGUUUGUUGAUAUGUCUAGAAUCAGAAUUGAGGGCCUUCUUGCUGCUUUCCCAAAGUUGGUUGGAACUGGAAAACAACAUACAUAUGUGGAGACAGAAAAUGUUCGCUAUGUUUACCAUCCAAUAGAAGCUCUGUACUUGCUUCUUGUUACAAAUAAACAGAGCAACAUCCUUGAAGAUUUGGACACCUUAAGGCUCCUUUCUAAGCUUGUAUCCUUUUUUGAGCUGGCCUAUGCUUAUUUUUAUUGUUGUUAAUGUUGAUCUUGUGUUGAAUUUGGGUAUGUUGGCUCGUGAUCUUUCAUGGGGACUAGCAAAGUUUGCAUACGUUAGAACAAAGCAAACGCUUAUUGACGAUGUAUUGUAUAAUGAAGAGAUGAACUCUAGACUGCAAAGGAAAAUAAAAUGUUAUAUAGUUCAUCUUAUAUGAAACAAAAUCAAGUCUUUUCUGGUAAGAUCAUAUGUUUUUCUUUUAAGAAUAAGAAUAUUUUUUCAGGUCUGCUAAUAGGGGUACCCUCCAUCAUGUGUAUGUGUAUACUCUCUUAGGUGUGUAUGUGUGGGAUUUUUGUUUGCAUGGUAAGAUGGUGCUUUACAAAUGUUUGUGUUAAACGCUCUGAGAAUGGAGUUAUGUUGGAGUCCUUAAGUGAUUCUAGGUGCCUGAAUAUUCACUCUCUAUGGAUGAAGAGGGAAUCUGCAAGACAGCUUUUGAUUUGAUUUUUGCUUUCGAUGAAGUUAUUUCUCUUGGGCACAAGGAAAACGUGACUGUUGCCCAGGUUAAGCAGUACUGUGAGAUGGAGAGCCACGAAGAGAAGUUGCACAAGUUGGUACUGCAGAGCAAGAUCAAUGAAACUAAGGAUGUCAUGAAGCGGAAAGCAAGUGAGAUUGACAAAAGCAAGGUCUUCUUUACGUGCCCUUCAUCAUUUUUUUUCCGCAACUAAUUUUUUUUUUUGAAAACAACAAUUUGUUUUCUCAAAAAUAACAUAAAAUUUGAUCAUUUGUCAUAUGUAUUGCAGAUUGAAAAGAAUAGGGGUGACAAAGGAGGCUUUAUGUCUUUACAGUCUAUGGGAUCAGGAAAGAUUGAUAAUGGCCUCAGUGACAUGGGCAUAUCAUCAGGUGGUGGAGGUGGUUUUGGUAGCAGUUCUGGUUUUGGAUUGGGUGCAGAUGUUGAGUCCUUUUCUAGCAAGCCUAAAGGUUGCUCUUUGUUUAAAUGCACAUUUUAUGAAUGUUAUCUAUGAUGAGUUGUUGGUUUGUUACACAUAUUUGUAAGCAGUCACUUGUCCUUGCAUCAACGUCAUAUACGCUACCAACGUUCUCUCAGUAAUUUGUCAUAUAUUUUAUGGCCAAUGAAUAUUGUCACGUAUUAAGUGGACGCUUACCGUUCUACCUUUUAUGUUUGUUAUUAGGCCGUCCACCUUCAUCUGCUACUGCUCCCCCCAAAGGCCUUGGCAUGCAGCUUGGUAAAUCCCAAAGGACAAAUCAAUUCUUGGAAUCUUUGAAGGCAGAAGGUGAAGUAAUAGUUGAAGAUGUACAGCCAAGUGUUGGUCCGUCUAAAUCAGCUGUCCCACCCCCAACUGAUCCUGUUACUCUAUCUGUUGAGGAGAAACUCAAUGUGUCCCUGAAACGAGAUGGUGGAGUUAGUAACUUUGACCUUCAGGGAACAUUGUCCCUUCAAAUUCUCAACCAAGAAGAUUCCCACAUUCAAGUUCAGGUACUUUGGUUCACUUUACAUCAAGGAUGCUGUAUAAUAAACACUACAACUUCUCUAGGUGAUUGGUAUCCCCAACACAUAUCCUACAAUUUCCACUGUUUGACUACUUAUAUUAAUUGAUUUCUUGCACACCUUAUAAACUUUCCUUCAAAUGUGUAUGAAGCUAAAAGAUUUUCAUCGUUGGAUUGUUCACAAAUUUGGCACUUGGGACAAUUUUGAUUUUAAGGUUGUUCCUAUAGGAUUUUGAACCAUCUCUCGGGCACUGCCUUUUGUCUCAUCUUUUUCUUGUAGUGUUAUUUUGAUUUGAUUUACAUUGCUGAUCUUGUUAUUUGUUUCACGAUCUUGAUUCGUUACCUUGUUUUCAGAUUGAGACUGGUGGAAACCCUGGCAUCCUUUUCAAAACUCAUCCUAACAUGAACAAAGAGUUAUUUUCCAAUGAAAACAUUCUAGGCCUGAAGGAUCCCAACAGGCCAUUUCCUACGGGUCAAGGCAGUGAUGCUGGAGUUGGUCUCUUGAAGUGGAGAAUGCAAAGCAAUGAUGAAUCAAUGGUACCAUUAACAAGUGAGUCUGAAUCUUUUUCAUACAGUUUUCUAUUAUAUAUAUUUUUAAAAAGUUAUACUAUACUUAUGAUGAGGCUUCCGUUGUUGCAGUCAACUGCUGGCCCUCUGUUUCUGGAAAUGAAACCUAUGUUAGCAUUGAAUAUGAAGCUUCAUCAAUGUUUGACCUGCGGAAUGUCGUCGUCUCAGUGCCUCUUCCCGCUCUUCGUGAGGCACCCAGUGUAAGGCAGAUUGAUGGAGAGUGGAGGUAUAGAUUGAUCUCUAGUCUCUUAAUUUUCACCUGAUUUAUAUUCUUUCGUUACAUCAAUUCUUUGAUCGAAAUGGGACUGUCCUUGUUGAACUAUGAAAUACGUUUUACUAAAGUAAUAAAGUAACUUUUUAAAGCUCGCUUGUGUUCAUUAAAAUGGGACAUGGAAAAAAGAAACAAUUUCGUAAAAUUUUAUUUAACAAGUCUCAAUGUUGAGAACCUUCUGAAAGGCAAAACUUGUAACGAUUUUUUGAAUAUAUCAAUUACAUGACCCUAAUGAAGCGGAUCCAAACAGAUAUCCUUUUGAAUUCAAAGACCCAUUUAACACCUGUUUUUCCUCAACCUGCAGGUUCGAUUCCAGAAAUUCUGUCUUGGAAUGGUCUAUAGUUCUCAUUGAUAACUCAAACCGCAGGUAUGUUGUGUUUGGAUUCUCUCUUCGCUAGACGUUGUUACCCUAUUAUAAUUGCAUGCUUGUGUUUAUUAAUCUGCUCCAUCAUCUUGACAGUGGAUCCAUGGAGUUUGUUGUUCCUCCAGCCGAUUCAUCAGUAUUUUUCCCCAUUUCUGUUCGGUUUUCAGCAGCUAGCACAUUUAGCGACCUGAAGGUUUUUUCUUGUUCUGUCCUCUACUUGAAAUCGGAUAUUAAUUACAAACCUCUCAAUAACCGUUAUAUCCUGUCCUUGUGUGUGGAAUAAUCUCAUUAAUAAUUGCACUGACACCUAGAUUUUAAGUGGUAAUCACAACUAAAUUGACAGUUGCAUUAGAGUGGAAAUAACAGUGAAUUUGAGAGUUCCCGUAAGAACUAGUGUCGAUGGAACUGGAUGUGAUUUAAUUAGAACAGAAAGUUUAUUAGACUAACCAAACACUUCUACGAUCUAGAAACCCGUCGAACUAAACUGACUUCUUCUCUCAUUCACUCGCAUCAUUUUAUUCUGUAGAGAGAAAAUGAGAUUUUAACUACGCUUAUUCUCAUUCUUGAUUCGAUAUUUCCAGCAUUUACUAAAGCAUUGGUUUGUAAACUCCCUUGUUUCAGGUUGUCAACAUUUUGCCUCUUAGGGGCGGGGCUCCUCCCAAAUAUGUUCAGAGGACACAGUUGAUUGCGGAAAAUUACCAAGUUGUUUGAUUGAUGAGGUCUUCUUUAUUGAAUUUUUCCUUACAUUUUGCACUGAUAAUUUUUUUAGUGAUUUGGCCUGAUAAAUUACUAGUUCGAAACAACUAAGGACUAAAAUAAUCCAUUUCAAGCCAUGGUUACAAGUCUUGGUCUAACAAACGAUAAAAUUUGUUAAAGAAAUUAAUUUUUUUGGUACAUAUUUACCCAAAUUUGUGGGUAAAUCAUCAUAUUCCGAAUUUAGUGAAAUUGUAUCGUUUGUGUUAAUAUUUCGUGGUCUUUUAUUAUACUUGAAAAGACCCAACAGAAACAAGAAAAAAAAAGAAAACCUAAAUACGUCAAAGACAUGCAUGGUGAAGAAACUAAUAUAUAAAAUCAUUUGAUUUUGUUUCAAUGUCUUCUUCCACGUGAAUUCAUAAUCUUCGUAAUUAUAUUAAAAUUACAAGUUGAUUUUCAAAAUUAAAAGAUUGUAUAAAUCACUUUCCAAAAAAUAUCACGUGAAUGAACCACUUAGGAUAUAUAGAAGGAAUAAAGGACGACCAUAGAUUUCUCGGUUGAAAAGUUUGUGAUGGGUUGAAUAAGUCACAUCGAUUAUAGUGACAACAUCAUAUUAUUUUCAGAUAAUCGAAUAUACGUACACUUGUUUUAACAAUUUGGAAGGCAAUUCAUGCAAAUUGGGCAGAUUUGGUAUUUUCCAUUUGAUUCUCGUCGGGUAAUUAUUUGAUUUUCGGCUUUUUUUUAUUUAUAAAAUUAAAUUCCAUAAACAGCACUUUCAUGUGAAGCUAAAUUUUGAAAAAUAAAAAAAUUAGUUUUUAUUUUUGGAAAUUCAUAAUCUGAAACCAAUGAAUAUGAAUUGUAAGAAAAUAAAGACAAUUUUAAAAACAAAAUAGUUAUUGAGCAUGUGUUGAUUUUUUGUUUUAAGUUUGUAAAAACUAAAUCAAUAAACACUCAUCGUUAUAUACUUUCUAAUUUCUACAUGUUUUUACAGAAACAAGCCAACUUUUUAAAACUAACAAACUAGUUUUUUAAAUAAAGAAAUUGGAUGAAAAUUCAACUGUUUAAGCUAAUACAUUUGAACGAAAUAAUCAGAAAUUGAUGAUUUUAAAACAUAAAAUCUAAAAAUUAAAUAAUUACUGAACGAAGUCUACACGUUUUAACUAUACAUUAAAAAUAAUUACAACUUUUUACCAUUUAUGCCAAAACAAUUAAAAACUGAUAAACCAAAAUUAGAAAACUCAUUUUUAGAAAACAGAAAAAAAAAAGUUUAAAAAAAGAAUAGUAAAUUUUGGUUAUAAAAACAAAAAUGAGAGAAAAGAAAUGCGAUGUUCCAAUUUAGGCAUUGAGAAAAUCGAUUAAUUUACUUCCUCCGACUGCUAAACUAUAUAAUAAAUCCAUAAACUUCCAAUGUUCUAGAUAAUACAACUUUUCUUCACUUUUAAGUUUACACUAAUUAUUUGCAAUUUGUACCUAAUUUAAAGAUAAUCUCGUUCAAAAUCACCAAAAUAAUUUUAAAUAAAAAGUAAAUUUAACCGUAAAUUAGAUUAGAGAUAUUAAAUUUAAAAUUGAUUGAAGGGUAUUUUCAACAUAGGAAAUACUUUAAUUUGGAUAUGGUUUUUAUAAAAAUGCGUAAAAUACCAAUACACAAUCCGAAGGUAAAUUGAUAAGAAUCAAGAUGGUUGAUUUAGAUUGGAUUAACUUCAUUGUAUUUACUCCUAAUUAAUAAAUAAAUAAAUAAUCAAACCAUUAGUAUCCAAUAAAUAAAGGAGUAAUGAAAUUAAAUGAAUUAAACGUAAAAGUAGAAAAAGGAAGAGUAUGAUUCUCCCCUGGGCGUAAAAGCAAGCAAAUGGACAAAAUACAAAUUCCGGCCCCCAAAACAAUAAUUUGGGUUUACAUUUAGACCACGAAUAAGCUAAUUAAUUACAAGACUUACCCCUUAAAAAAUGUAAAGAAACCAAAGGCAAAGCCUCAAACAAUUAUAGUUAAGGGUAGAAAAUAGAAAAUUAUAGAGAGGAAAAAGAAAAAGAAAGGUUAUAAAAAGGAAUUAAUGAAAGAGGAGGAAGAGGAAGAGGAAGAAGAAGAGGGAGGCAUAUUAAUUAGGUCUAAUGGAUUUAAUUAAUUAAUAGAUUAAAUUAUUUAAAGAGUCUAAUCUUCGGGAAGUGGAAGUGUGAAAUUUUGACCUUUCGCUUUCUCGAUCUAGGGUUUCAUGUCAUUGACAGAGUCCUUCGUUAUCGCCAAAAAUACGAGCCCUAGCAGCAGAUAAAAUAAGAGUUUUCCCAAACCACAGAUCGAGUUCAUUGGAAACAAAAUUUUCGUUUUUUCUUUUUGGUUCAUCAUCUUCAUCAUCAUCAUCAUCAUCAUCAAUCAGGAUCUUAAAUUUUUUUCCUAUCAUGGGAAAAAGAAGAACCCAAAUCUUGUUUUGUUCUGUUGUUUCUUGACGGAUCGAUGUUUUAAAUUUGGAAAAAAGAAAAAGAGUAAGAAAACUGGAUCAAAUCUAAAGCAUUCAGGACGAUUCAUGAUCUUUUUUUUUUAAUUUCUUAUUGUCUGGAAAGGAAAUCAUUGAAACCCCAUGGGAUUAUAUAGAAACUUGAUGAAAUUUCUGGAGGCAUAAAGCGAAACAGUGAAAUAUUGAGAGGAAGGAGAUUGGUGGGGAAGAAUGUAUAAAUCGGUGGUUUACCAUGGGGAUGAGCUACUGGGAGAUGUAGAGAUUUACCCAGAAGAAAAGAAUGGCUACAAGAACAUCGAAGUGAAGGAAAUCAGAAUAACUCACUUCUCGCAACCCAGUGAGAGGUGCCCACCACUUGCAGUGCUUCAUACCAUUGCAGCCUCUGGAAUUUGCUUCAAAAUGGAGUCAAAGACCUCGCAGUCACAGGACACGCCGCUCAAUCUUUUGCAUUCCUCGUGUAUCAUGGAGAAUAAGGUAUAAAAACAUAACUCGAAUAUAAGAAAGGAGACCAAAAGACUAAAGUACGAAGAGAGAGAAAAAGACAGAGACAGAGAUUAAAACCAAUGAGUUAAACAAAAUCUUAAUUCUAAACCCAACUUUGUUCAUCUUACAAGGAUUAGAUUGUAAACAUUCCAAUCAUUUUGAGAAAAUUUUGCAACCUUAAAUUGAGAAUGGUGCUGGAAUUCUGCCUGACAUUUUGUGAAAUUUCUAUGAUAUCUGCAACUUAUCCUAAAUUGUCUUUCUACCUGUCUUGGUUAGACACCUAUGGAAGAAAAUGGGAAUGUAAAAUGGGCAAAGCUGACUCCUAAACUUUUAGUUCAUAGGAAGUUCAGCUAUUUGCUUCCUCCUGUUUUCUUGCUCUUUCCGGCUGGUGACGUUAUUUUGAAGAUUAUGCUGCUGGUAGUUUCAUUUUGGUGGUAAACUUGUGAUUUUGUUCUGCAAGAAAAUUAAAACAAUUGUUUCAAUAAGCUGAAAAUUGGUGUCAAAGUUAAUAGCAUGAGAAAACUUGAUUGCCCCCUGGAUUCUUUUUUUCAAACUUCUAAUAUUACUUAUGGUUUUGUUGUUUUGUAAAGUUGGAAGCAUUUCUGCAUUGUUUUUUGUCAAUGGGAUGGCAUAUUCUUCCUCAGUUGGUUGUUUUUGAUAUGGAUGUGUUGCAAACACUGAUGAUUUGGAUUUGUUUCAACAGACUGCUAUAAUGAUGUUUGGGGUGGAGGAGCUACAUUUGGUAGCCAUGUUUUCUAGAGAUCUUGACAAGCAGUAUCCAUGUUUCUGGGGCUUCAACGUUGCAAUGGGACUCUACAAUUCUUGUCUUGACAUGUUGAAUCUUAGAUGUCUUGGCAUUGUAUUUGAUCUUGAUGAGACACUUGUGGUUGCAAAUACAAUGCGUUCGUUCGAGGAUAGAAUUGAAGCCCUGCAGCGGAAAAUAAGCAGUGAGGUAGACCCACAGCGCGCUAAUGGCAUGCUGGCAGAGGUUAAGCGAUAUCAAGAUGACAAGAUAAUUCUGAAGCAAUAUGCUGAAAAUGACCAGGUUAUAGAAAAUGGAAAAGUGAUUAAAAGUCAAUCGGAAGUAGUGCCAGCAUUGUCUGACAAUCAUCAACCUGUUGUUCGACCUCUGAUACGGUUGCAUGAAAAAAAUAUCAUUCUAACUCGUAUCAACCCCCAGGUAACUAGAUUUAAACCAUGCUAUCUAUUUGCUUCCACUUUCCAAGGAUGCAAGGACCAUCAAACAAUUCACUUACACUUGUUUUUCACUUCAACUGCUCAUAUGUGCAUUCAUAUUACCCUUUUUUCUAGUAUCCAUGUUGGAUAUUUUUUCUCUCUGUUUUUAGAGUCUCCUAAUUUGUCUGUUUAUUUUUUACUGUAAUGAUUAAAAUUAAUCCAAACUGAUGUUGUUUGCCUGAGACAGGGUUUGGUUCAUUUAAGUGGUGUCUGAGUUCUUUAUAUGAUAUUUCAUUUAGACUUAUAAGUUGCUCAAUGAAAGUCAUAAGCUAUUUUGUGAAGUCGUUAAAUGCAAGUUAUAUUGGCUCAACUACUGCUAUUAUUUCAUAGAUUCGUGAUACAAGUGUUCUUGUGAGGUUGAGACCUGCAUGGGAAGAUCUUCGGAGCUACUUGACUGCAAGAGGCCGCAAGCGUUUUGAGGUCUAUGUGUGUACAAUGGCUGAAAGGGAUUAUGCUUUGGAGAUGUGGAGGCUCCUUGAUCCGGAUUCAAAUUUGAUAAAUCCUAAGGAAUUGUUGGAUCGCAUUGUUUGUGUUAAGUCUGGUAAGUUUAAGCCAAUUUCGUAAGAAGACAAAUAUUCCUUCCCAAACCGGUGGCACAUUUUUCCGAGGGUUGUUGAUGAAGAAGCUAAUUCCGAAACUGCUUAAAGUCCUGAUUUAUAGUUUUUCUAUCAUUUUGGCGAUUUUCAAUUGAAUUUUCUUGCUAACAUUCUUUUGGCCCAUAUCCUUAGGUUCUAGGAAGUCAUUGUUCAAUGUCUUCCAAGAUGGGUUUUGCCACCCAAAGAUGGCUCUGGUAAUCGAUGAUCGUUUGAAAGUAUGGGAUGAAAAGGAUCAACCUCGAGUGCACGUUGUUCCUGCAUUUGCUCCUUACUAUGCCCCUAAUGCUGAAGUAUAUUCUUAUUUGUAAUUUGGCAUUUCAUUUUGAAAAAAUUCUUUAAAAAUUACGCAACACUGAUUUAUUUCACGUUUCUUUUUCUUUUUGGGUAGGGAAAUAAUGCCAUCCCUGUUCUAUGUGUAGCAAGGAAUGUUGCCUGCAAUGUUAGAGGUGGUUUUUUCAAGUAAGAUUCAUAAGACUGCUAAAGUUUCUUACCGAAGGACAUGAAUUCUACUAUGCUUAUUUUUAAUAUUUGCAAAUUAAGGUUUUAGCUCUGGGAGAUGGUCCAAGUUCAUGCAUGUUAUUGGUUUUCUUUUGUUAAUAGCGGCAUUUCUCUGACUUCAGGGAAUUUGAUGAUAUCCUACUGCAAAAAAUUUCUGAUAUCUCAUAUGAAGAUGAUGUCAACGAUAUUCCCUCUCCUCCGGAUGUGAGCAACUAUCUCGUCUCAGAGGUCAGUAGGAAUUCCUUCUCAAAUUACUUUCCCAUAAAAUAAUCAAACUUAGUUUGAUAGUGAGGUCAUUGUUAUAAUCAAAUUUAGUGUUACUGCUUUUCCCUAUAGGUGGGAGGUCUAAUCCUCAUCACCACAAUUGUUGUACUAAAAAACAAUCUUUUCCCUUAUAUGUUUUUCAGGAUGAAUACUCUAUUGCUAAUGGAAACAAAGAUAUGCCAACUUUUGAUGGUAUGCCAGACAUGGAAGUUGAUAGAAGAAUGAAGGUACUGACGAAGAUUGGUCCUUGUUUGAUGUUAUAAGUAAACUUUCAUUUGCAUAUAUCAGGGAACUAAUUAGGUCAAGGGAAGUGAGUGUAAUAAUAUCUUGCAUAACAUUCUACUAGGAGGAAUGAAUUAGUUCUAAAAUUUUUAAGUUACCAUUAUACAUUUACAUCCAACAAUUGUUAGUUGUGGAGUGGAAAGAAUUUGCAACUUCAUUCAAUAAAAAUUAUGAUAAAUAGAUGUCCAAGAAUUACAAAGAACUAAAGAAGUGAGCAAACAUAAAGAAAUCAGUAAGCUCUCUGCAUCAAUUAGUCAUUGUUCCUGCAUAUUACUUUGCCUGCAUGUUACUUCAAGAUCUGUCUGUCAUACACAUGUACUCAGUCUUACAUAUACAUGUAUGAAACGGAUACCUCUUCCAUCUUCCCCAGGAUGCAUUUUUGGCUUCUUCAACUAUUAACAGUGCAGAUCCACGGGUUUCUUCUCUUCAAUAUACAAUGGCUUCUGCUUCUUGUUCUGUUCCACUUCCCCCAAAGCAGGUGACGAUGCCAUAUUUUCCAAACAUGCCACUUCCCCAUGUUAACUCAGUGGCUCAUGUGGCCCCAAAUGAACCAAGUUUACAAAGUUCUCCCGCUAGAGAGGAGGGUGAGGUACCAGAAUCAGAAUUAGAUCCUGAUACAAGGCGUAGACUCCUUAUAUUGCAACAUGGGCAAGAUACGAGAGAGCGUCUAUCAAGUGAACCCGCAUUUCCAGCAAGGCCUCCUCCAUUACAGCAGGUUGCUGCUCCACGUGCUCAAUCACGUGGAAAUUGGUCUCCAAUGGAAGAAGAAAUGAGCCCAAGGCAACUAAAUCGCAGUGCACGAAAAGAUUUCCCUGUAGAUGCUGAACCAAUGCCGAUGCGGGAGAAGCAUAGGUCAAAUCAUCCUUCAUUUUUCGCCAAGGUUGACAAUUCAAUUCUACCUGAUAGAAUUCCUCAUGAUAAUCAGAGAUUGCCAAAAGAGGUAAUUAGGCUAUGUUUUGCCUGGCUUUGACUCCCCCUUUUUUCAAAGAGAAAAGCUGCUGUAUAAUUCUUCAGUAUGCUUUUUUAAUCAUGCAUGCAGGCUUUUUAUAGAGAUGAUCGUAUGAGAGUAAGUCGAAGGCCAUCUAGCUAUCCUGCGUUCUCAGGUGAGAUGGCAGUUUGACACUUAAAUUUGUCCAUUUUUUGAAUUUUAUGGCGUCAAAUUUUAAUAGUUUUUAUUUAUUUCUCUCUUUUUUUUUUCUUCUCAUCUUAAAUAUUCAGGUAAUUAUUAGUUCGUCUGUCUGUUAUUACUCGGGGCUCUCUCUUUCAUUUUCUCAAUGAUUAGCAUUCAAAAAGAGUCAAACCCUUCAUCCUGUAACCUAGUGAACCACGUGUUUUACUUUAGGGUGAAUUUUCUUGUGGAUUAUUUCCAUAUCUACUCUCACAAUUACUCUGUAUUUUUUAUUUAGGCCUAGAGAUUAUAUGCAUUGUUUUCAUUGUGUAUGGAUGUUGUGUUCCAGAUUUUGAAUCUAAUAUUUUCAUUUCUCAAAAUAGAAUUCAAAUAUACCAGUUUUUUAGUUUAUUUAGGUUUAAAUAUAAAAUCCUUUAAAUCUCUAUCGAUUUAACUUCUAAACUAAAAGUUUUUAGAUCGUUCGAUAUUUUAGAAUGUUGUUAGUAGCAGAAUAUCUAUGUAAUAUUUAAUGAAUAAUUUGUAGUUUGUUUAACAUUUUGAAUUUUAAUAUUUCUAAUUGAUGAUAUUGUGACAAUGUUCUCUAACUGAAAAUUUACAUCUUGAUCGGCUUGCAAAUUUAAAGCAAAACUUAUCAUUAUUUUUAUUUUUCUACUCUUCGUUUUGUUAAUAACUAUCAUAUUAGUCAUUAUUAUAUUUCUUUGAGGUUAUGCUGCAUGCUGUAUUGCUAUUUUAUAGGUGAGGAAAUUCCAAUGAAUCAAUCAUCUUCAAGAAGUCGGGAUGAUGACAUUGAAUCUGGACGCUCCAUCUGGAGUGAAACUCCUGUUGGAGCUCUACAGGAAAUUGCAAUGAAGUUUGGCACCAAGGUAAUUGGGACAACUUUUCUCAUCAUAAAAAUUUGAAGUUUGUCAAUUAUGCAUUUGUUACACCCAUCUCUAGCCAGUCCUUGAGAUUUGAAAAAACUUGUAGGUGGAAUUUAAGCCAGGGUUGGUUCCCAGCACAGAUCUACAGUUUUCUGUUGAGGUAAUUUAUGAUUUCUAUCUUCAUGUUCUUUAUGGUUCUUCCUUGGAAUAUAUUUUGGAUACUGGAUAGUUCAAUGCCUACAUGAAUGAGAGUUUCUGCUUUUAUUUUUCUUUUAUUAUUAUUAUUAAAAAUUGAUCUAGUAUUAAAGAAGAAGAAGAAAACUAGGCUGGGGAAGAAAAAUCCCCUACUCGAGAGGAGAGAAGAAAUACUAUAAUAAUGAAAAAGAAGUGAGCGUUUACUCCAAAUCACAACCAAACUAACUAUGGCUCUAAAAGAGCUUUGAGAGCUUUCCCAUUGCUAAUGGUUAUGAAGAGGUUCCACUACUAGGCAGUGAGCCAAACACUGAGUUUUCUGCUUUGCUCUAUUAAUGUUGUGUAUUCCAAAUGUGGGAAGAUGCGAAAAUUCUAGAUUUAUUAAUAAUCCAAGUCUCAUGACUGGAUGGCCUUUUCUUGUCCAAUAGGACUUAUAUACCAUAGUAAAAUGAAGAAAUUGAUUAUUAAAUAUCUCAAGGUUAAAUCAAUUCUCCAUCAAAAUACAAGACACUAAUCCUGAUAAGCUUUUGGCUGAAUUAUAAAAAAUACCCCCUUUAAUAAAUCAAGGCCAUCCAGUCGUGAGAGUUUCAAUUAUAAAAAAUACAUUGAAUGUCUCUUUCUAAUGAGAGUUUCAAUUAUAAAAAAUACAUUGGACUACAUAUCCUUUAGAAUUUGAGUGGAAAUUGGGACUUGUAGGAUAUGGUGGCGUGGGUUGAUCCUAAUUUCCAUUAUAGGUCACCCUACACCAUUCCAAUUUCAACCUGAAAUUUCUACUCCAAAUGUAUUUUUUUUUAAAUCUUGUUAAAGUCCACGAGUAAUAUUGCAAAUUUUGAAAGGAUAGGAGCAUUUUUUGAACAAAUGAUUUGACCUACAUUGUUAACUUUCCAUGUACUUAUCUCAUCGGGUUAUUUAUCACAUUUUUCAAUUUUUAAGACCUGCCUGUCUCCACUUGUUCUGAUUAUAGAGCAUGUGAACCUGCUCCUUGCUUUUGUAGGCUUGGUUUGUAGGAGAAAAAAUUGGUGAAGGGAUUGGCCAUACUAGAAGGGAUGCUCAGCGACAGGCAGCUGAAGGUUCCAUAAAGAAUUUGGCUAGUAAGUAGUUUUGCUUUCUUCUCUUAUACUAUUUUAUGUUUACAACAUUUAUCUUUUGCUAUAUAUUGUUGACGUUAUACCUUAUUUUGUUGUUUGUAGCAAUCUAGAUAUGAAUAUUGUCUCUCCAAGAUAGUCUGCAGUCGUUUGGAAUAUUAAAAUUAUUGUUAUUGUCUUGCAUACUCUGUUUAUAAUGAUUUUAAAACAUGAUAACUCUUUGCAUUUUGGCCUAGGUCUGAACUACUUGGCUCAAUCUAGACAACUUAGCUUUUAUAUUUAGAUCAAUCGGUAAAAAAAUUUGUUAUUCUUAAUUCCUCCAAGGUUUUUUCUUAGCAUUGGCUGCUGUAUUGGGCAUGUGAUGUAUGUGUUUAGAAAUGCAAGCUUCAAUUAGAGCUAAAAUGCGAAGAGUAUGAGCGACCUCCGUGGUUUAUUCUGGCUUACAUACGAAAUAUUUUUUUGCAGACAUUUAUGUAUCACGUUGUAAGGCUGACCCUUCAUCUGCAAAUGAUAUGAACAAGUUUCCUAGCGACAAUGGAUCUGGAAAACGAAUGAAACUGGACUUCCACAGACAUCUUCCAAAAACUAAAUAAAUAUUCCACGAAAGCUUCUGCUCCAUGAAUGACUUCCAUAUUUGUUGACCCUCUAGUAAAAGCACGUUUCAGAAUAUUUGAGGUUAAAGGCCAUCAAGAGUCACCAUGUUGGACUUAGAAUACAUGGCCUUCUGCUUGUCUCGAUCAGAAUAAGAGGCAAACCGCAAGAUCAGCUCUUAUGCCUUCAUUCAAUUUCUUCUGAUAUCCAGCAACACGAACUCCACGUGAAUGUUCAUACUGAGGAGAUCCAGUUACUGCAUCUCUCUUAACCUUUAUGUUUUUUUCCUCGAGACCAAGAUAACCGGGAUGAGCCAUGAAUAUCUGCCUGCUUUAGUUGAAAAUUUUCUCCCAUUAAAGCUGAAGCCAUUUUUGUUAAAGAGGUGGCAGAAGGCUGUAGUUCAUGCUCAAUGCUCUCCUUUGGCAACUUGUUCACUCCAACAUGUUUGAGAUUGGCCGAUCAGAAUUUUAUUUUGUUUUAUUUUCUUUAUAUUUUUUGUGUUAAUAUUUUAUUUAAUUUGAUUGAGCUCAGGUCGAAAAUUGGCUGGUAUUCAGGAAUGUUUUCAUGAUCUGCAGACUCAUUAAUUCACUUUAUAACAAAGCUAACCCUUUAAUUUUAUGUUCCACACCUAAAUUAACAGUUAGGCUCCCCCACCCCAUGAAUGAUGUUUCGAGCUGGAGAACAAUGUAGUUGGUGGUAGAGUUGUAUAGAGUUCUUUUUUAAUACCAUUUCUGCUGCUUUUUUUAUUUCAAUGUCAAUGGAUGGAAUUCAACAUCUCCCAUAUUCUAUUUUAAGAUUGUUCUUAACAGAACUUGAUUGUUGUUUUUAUUUGUAUCAGGAUAAUAAAUGAUUCUUGGAAUUGCUAUCGCUCCUAAAUUUGUCACUUCGAAGUGGAAUGAAACAAAACAAUUGAAUUGAAUUCAAUAUUCUUAUAGUCUAUAGUAUUCCAAAUUUUAUUAAAUGAUUUUUUCUACUCUUCAAUCACAACAACGUAUUAAAAAACACAUUAAAUCAGAUCAUGUGUAUUCACCACUAAAUGCUUUUUAAGAAAUAUAUAUAUAUUUUAGAAAUUGAAACAUCAAGCCUUUGGUCAAGAAAAUUCGUACCAUCACAUUAGGAAAUGAAAUUAAUACUGUUAGCUCUCUCUUCCCUAUACAUAUAUCCAUGUAUAUAAAAUAUAAAGUUGAGGGACAAAUUUAUACUACAUGCUAACAACUAUUCUAUUGACCUAAUAAAAGUGUAUAAAGUGUUUAUUCCAAGUACGAAUCUUUUUCAAUGUUAAAUUAAUAUACAUAUUUAAUCAUAAAACAUCGAUUAUAACCAAGAGUUGCAUUUUGAUUGGGCAGAGUAUUAAUCUUUUUCCUUCUAAAAAUAAAUUUAAAAGAAGAAGAAGAACGAAGAAGAAUAGUUGAAAAAUGGUUAAAUUUUGGUCCUAUUAAUUACUUAAUGUGUAAAAAUGUGUAAAGGAUAUAAAAGGGUCAAAUUAGCUUCAACGAGAGAGUCAGUGAGUCAUCCCUUUGUUUCUCAUUUUACAAACCCAACCCACAAAAACACAUCUCUCUCUCUCUAUUUCUCUCUCUGCGGUGUUGGAGAGCGCUAAAAUGUCCACCUUCGACGCCUACAGUAUGGACGGUGAGGACAGCUAUGGCGGUUACGGAUCCUACACCAAUUUCUCCGGCGCCUUCCCCGGAGACGCCGAUGUGACCGUCGAGCAUACUCCUGCCUCGCCGGACGUCUUUGGAUUCGACGAUCCCAGCCCUAACUACUCCCAGGCUCCCUUUGAUCCGAUUCAUGUAGAGAAUGGAAAUGGAAAUGGCUAUGGUGCGGCUGAGGAUGAAGUUGGUGAUGGUGUGUUCGCAUCCGAUGGUCCAAUUCUUCCCCCUCCUAGCGAGAUGGGCGUGGAGGAAGGAUAUGCUCUUCGUGAAUGGCGUCGGUAAGAUCCUGUGACCCUCAAUUCAUUUUUUCAGAUUUCUUGGAACUGAAGAGGUUUUUCUUCUGCUGCUUGUGCUUUGUAUCUCGGUGUCGACUUAGAUCUGAUUCGUUGGCGAACAACUUCAGAUCUCUAUUAGUCAUCUCUUGCUAGUGUUUUUACUUGAUUGCACUGAUUGAUCUAGACUAUUUCUCCACUUUGUCUUAAUAGCUCUAUAUAGAGGGAUUUGAUGAGGGGAAUUAUAUUGAUCGAUUUGCAUUAAAAGGUGGUGAAUUAAAGAACUUAGAUCUAGGGAUAUCUGUACCUCAAUUGGUAGACUUCGAUGAAGAAGCUAUUUCAUUAGUGAGCUCUGAUCGAGGUUUUUAUUAGUAGAUCAGUUAGGCACAAGCCAUGGUGUCAAAUUUCUAAUUAUUAGUGGGUCUGUGUCGUUAUUGAUCUAUGUGGAAGUUCAAGCGGAAUUUAGGUUAAUUUCUCCAAGUUCAAGCAGAAUUCCAGCGGAUUAUUCGUAGAUCAGUCAGGGACAUAGCCAUUUAAGUCAAAUUACUAAUUAUCAGUUUGUGUAUAUUGUUGUUGAUCUAUGUGGAGGUUUAAGCGGAAUUCCAGCGGAAUUUGGUUGAUUAAUCAGGGAGAUAGCCAUUAAGUCAAAUUACUAUUAUUAGUGGAUGUAUAUUGUUGUUGAUCUAUGUGGACCGUGGAAGUUCAAGCGGGGUUCAGGUAAGUCUCUGGUAGAUAAGUAUGGACGAUUCGAUUUAGCCAUGACCCAUACAAAAAUGCAUGCGUGAUUCCUAAAGAGAAAUUGCAUGAUGUAUAUCAUCAAUUGAAAUCUUUUUAGCUAUUGUUUUAUUUUUCUUUGUUGUUUAGUUGUUUUAUUGGAUGUAACAAAAUGUCCUUGUUGACUUCCAUUUUCCUUUUAGAUCGCAGAAAGUGCAAUUUGUAAUGGAUAGCCAAUUUGAGUUUUGAAGAUGUAUUCAAGUAUAUAUCUAUUGUCUUUCGACUCUUUCCAAUUUUGAACUUUAGAAAUUAUGGGUUUUUUGGUGCAGCCAAAAUGCCAUUCAGCUUGAAGAGAAGGAGAAAAGGGAGAAAGAAUUGAGAAUUAAAAUUAUUGAAGAAGCUGAGGAGUAUAAAAUAGGUUUCUAUGAGAAAAGAAAGCUUAAUGUUGAGAGUAACAAGGUUAACAACAGAGAAAGAGAGAAGGUAUAGUUUUGUUUGCCAUCUUCUUUCAAGGGUGUGUUCUUCGUUUUCUUCUCUAGCUCUUUUUUCUUAGUAUAGAUUUUUCGCGUUUUUGGGGCAGCUAUACUUGGCAAAUCAGGAGAAGUUUCAUAAAGAGGCUGAUAAACAAUACUGGAAAGCAAUUGCAGAACUAAUUCCUAACGAAGUUCCUAAUAUUGAGAAAAAGAGAGGAAAGAAGGAUCAAGAAAAGAAACCAUCAAUACUAGUUGUUCAGGGUCCAAAGCCUGGGAAACCUACCGAUCUUUCAAGAAUGCGGCAAAUUCUCGUGAAAUUGAAGCACACACCCCCACCUCAUAUGAAACCACCACCACCCCCACCUGCCAAGGAUGCCAAGGACGCCAAGGACACCAAAGACGGCAAAGACGCUAAAGAUGGAAAGGAUGCCAAAAAUGAAAAAGAUGCAGCAACAAAAGCAUCCGACCCUACACCUGGGGCUGCCACGGCCAAUGGCACUUCUCACAAACCUCAAGAACCAAGUGUUGCUCCCGCUGCCGAUGAAGAUCAAACUGCUACAUAAUGACAUAGCCAUAGCCAUUAUCAACUUCUUUCUGCUCAAUACUUUUACAUUUUCCCUUUG